UCUCCUACGGGAGGCAGCAGUGGGGAAUAUUAAACAAUGGGGGCAACCCUGAUCCAGCAAUGCCGCGUGUGUGAAGAAGGUCUUCGGAUUGUAAAGCACUUUCGAUGGGGACGAUAAUGACGGUAUCCACCGAAGAAGCCCCGGCUAACUUCGUGCCAGCAGCCGCGGUAAUACGAAGGGGGCUAGCGUUGCUCGGAUUAUUGGGGGUAAAAGGGCGCUAGGGGAAUGAUAAAUUCAGAUGUGAAAUCCACGGGCUUAACGUGGGAAUGGCAUGGAAAACGUCCUUAUUGAGUGCAGAAGAGGAGAGUGGAAAUUCCUGUGGUGGGGUGGAAUUUGUAGAUAUAUGGGAAGAACACCGGUGGGGAAGGGGGUAUCUUGUCUGCAAAUGAACGUUGGGGUGGGAAACAUGGGGGGGCAACAAGGUUUAAUUACCUGGGUAGUCCACCGUAAAAGAUGAGUUGUUAGAUGGUGGAGAUUUAGUCAUCAGUGCCGCAGUUAACGCAUUAAGCACUCCGCCUGGAGACGCGAGUGU
This 532-nucleotide ribosomal RNA is filed under the name uncultured bacterium. Its description in RNAcentral is "bacterial SSU rRNA". It matches the Rfam family "Bacterial small subunit ribosomal RNA", at positions 335 to 873 of the family's 1533-position model. The record is from RNAcentral.